Molecule: ribosomal RNA, 2769 nt
Filed under: Triticum aestivum (bread wheat)
Lineage: Eukaryota; Viridiplantae; Streptophyta; Magnoliopsida; Poales; Poaceae
Description: partial small subunit ribosomal RNA
Source: RNAcentral
AUGAAUGUGUUCGCGGGGGUCGGCGGCAGCGCGGGGGAGGGCGCGGGGGCCGGGGCGGCGGCGGCGGCGAGGGACGCGGGAUCCGCGGACUUCGGGGCGCUGCUGGAGCUGACGCCGCACAAGAUGGCGGUGUGCCACCUCGUGCAGGUCUUCGCGCCGCCGGCGCAGCAGCAGCAUCAGGCCCCGCCCUUCCCCUUCGACUCCGUCGCCCACCACAACCGCCUCGGCCUCUUCCUCUUCGCCCUCACCCGCUCAUGUGAGGAUUUUUUGGAACCGCCACUGGAAGAGCUUUUAAGGCAGUUGAAGGCGGUAGACGAUUUAGUUAAUGGUUGGCUUUGUGAGCAGUUGACAACCACACUGGCUGGGCUUAACUCACCAGACGAUUUGUUCAACUUUUUUGAUAAGCUAAGAGGUGUGCUCACUUCACCGGACGGUGGAAGUGUGGAAGAUGAAUUUCUGGACCCAAAUAGUCAGCUUGGAGUUUUUCUUCGUUGCUGUAUACUGGCCUUCAAUUCCAUGACUUUUGAGGGUGUCUGCCAUCUGUUGGCAAAUCUUGUGGCGUACUGUAACUCAGCUGAGGCUUCAUAUGAUUUGGCAGAAGAUGAGGACUUUAAUGGUGAAAUAGAAAUGGGCGACCCGAUGGAUGCAGAUAUAGGUGUUAGAUCUGGUGUAUUUGACAGAUAUACUCAAGGCUAUGCCACUGAGAGCCAUAUGGGGGAGAGCUCUUCGUCUCUAAUCCAUGCACCUAUCUCACUUCAUAAUUUUGAUGAAGCCGAUAUUUUCAAAGCAGAGGAUAAUCCAACUUGUCUGAGAUCAAGGUGGCAAUUAGAGGCAUUUCUGAACCAGCAAGCUGACGUUCUUGAAAAGGAUCCCAGCUCAGUGCCUUUGAAUUCAUUUAACAACACUAUGGCACAGCUUCAGACAUUAGCUCCAGAGCUUCAUCGUGUCCAAUUCUUGCAAUACUUGAAUGCUCUUUGCCAUGAUGACUAUGUUGCUUCAUUAGACCAUCUUCACCGCUAUUUUGAUUACAGUGCUGGGAUGCAAGGACUUUUCAGUCGUUCUUCAUCUCCUCACCAAGAUAAUAUUGUCGGAAAGUAUGAGAGUGCUCUGCUCUGCUUAGGCAACUUGCAUUGUUAUUUUGGACAUCCAAAGAAAGCCCUAGAGGCAUUCACAGAAGCAGUGCGUGUUUCUCAAAUGAACAAUGAUGAUUCAUGCCUUGCAUAUAUAUUAGGAGCCAUUUCCAAUCUAUUAUCAAAGAUAGGAAUAUCAAGCACAGUUGGACUAAUUGGUUCUCGAUAUUCACUUGGAAACAAUAUUGGACUGGGCACACCAUUGUCCAUUCAGCAGCAGUUGCUUGUUCUGUUGAAGCGAUCACUUAAGAGAGCUGAUAUGCUGAAACUUACAAGCUUGUUAUCCUUUGAUCACAUCUCUCUUGCAAAAUUUGAUUUGAAGCAUGUCCAAAGGCCGUUGGUGUCCUUUGGCCCUAAUGGUUCUACAAAGCUUAGAACAUGUCCUGCAGAUGUCUGCAAGAAUUUAAGAUUAAGUUCCCAUGUGCUGUCCGACUUUGGCGCAGAUGGCUUAUCAAUUUCGAGUGAUAAUGGUAGUUUCAGCACCUCAUGGCUUAAGAAUCUGUCUGAUGCUUCCAGUUCUUGGUGUAGUAGCUCAACAAAGCCUAGAAAAUUUAUUACAAAUGACUUUGACAAUUUCCACUUUCAUGCACAACCAAGUUCAAUACCUACAUCAGUAUUGCAAUUAGCUGGCUCAGCAUAUUUGAUGAGGGCCACUGCCUGGGAGCACUAUGGAAGUGCUCCGAUGGUUCGAAUGAAUACGCUGGUCUAUGCAACCUGCUUUGCUGAUGCUGCAAGUUCAUCAGAGCUGUCACUGGCAUAUGUCAAGCUAAUUGAACAGUUAGCAGUCUUCAAAGGAUAUUCAGCGGCAUUCUGUGCGCUCAAGCUUGCCGAAGAGAAGUUCCCAUCCUCGACGAAUUCGCAGAUCCACCUUCUCAAAAUGCAAUUGCUACAUGAGCGUGCCCUGCAUCGAGGACACCUGAGAAUCGCGCAACAAAUCGGUGAUGAAUUUGGGGUGCUCUCAUCUUCUGUCAGUGGAGUAGACAUUGAGCUAAAGACUGAAGCCAGUCUACGGCGUGCCCGCACGUUACUCGCUGCAAAACAGUUUAGCCAGGCAGCAGCUGUGGCGAAUUCCCUUUUCACUACUUGCUACAAGUACAACAUGCAAGUAGAGAAUGCAAGUGUCCUUUUGUUACUUGCCGAAAUACAUAGAAAGUCUGACAACGCGGUCCUUGGCCUCACUUACGCAUUAGCCAGCCAAUCGUUUUGCAAAUCGUUUAAUUUGGAUCUGCUUGAAGCUUCAGCCACACUUACUCUCGCUGAACUGUGGCUAGCUCUUGGAUCUAACCAUGCGAAGAGGGCCUUAAGUCUUGUUUAUCAAAGCCUUCCUAUGAUUCUCGGCCAUGGCGGUCUUGAGCUGCGUGCUCGGUCUCAGAUAGUCUUAGCAAAAUGUCACUUAACCGAUCCAGAAUUUUCAGUUUCUGAAGAUCCUUGUGCUGUUCUGGACCCUCUAAAUCAAGCGGCUGAAGACCUGCAGGUUUUAGAGUACCACGAGAUGGCGGCAGAGGUGUACUAUCUCAAGGCGAUGACGUAUAACCACCUGGGCAAGGAAUAUGAGAGGGAGGAAGCCGCGGCUCGUUUCAAGGAGCACGUCACCGCCCUCGAGAACCCGCGCGACGAGGAGGAUUCACUCGUUUACUGA